GGAAUCUUCCACAAUGGGCGAAAGCCUGAUGGAGCGACGCCGCGUGCAGGAUGAAGGCCCUCGGGUUGUAAACUGCUUUUAUAAGUGAAGAAUAUGACGGUAACUUAUGAAUAAGCACCGGCUAACUACGUGCCAGCAGCCGCGGUCAUACGUAGGGUGCAAGCAUUAUCCGGAGUGACUGGGCGUAAAGAGUUGCGUAGGUGGUUUGUUAAGUGAAUAGUGAAAUCUGGCGGCUCAACCGUACAGGCUAUUAUUCAAACUGGCAGACUCGAGAAUGGUAGAGGUAACUGGAAUUUCUUGUGUAGGAGUGAAAUCCGUAGAUAUAAGAAGGAACACCAAUGGCGUAGGCAGGUUACUGGACCAUUUCUGACACUGAGGCACGAAAGCGUGGGGAGCGAACG
RNAcentral lists this ribosomal RNA (401 nucleotides) under uncultured Candidatus Saccharibacteria bacterium. RNAcentral's name for it is "bacterial SSU rRNA". It matches the Rfam family "Bacterial small subunit ribosomal RNA", at positions 358 to 774 of the family's 1533-position model. Lineage: Bacteria; Candidatus Saccharimonadota. The record is from RNAcentral.